Molecule: non-coding RNA, 29 nt
Filed under: Homo sapiens (human)
Lineage: Eukaryota; Metazoa; Chordata; Mammalia; Primates; Hominidae
Source: RNAcentral
GGCCCAAGGAAAGACAUUCCAGGAGGCAG